Molecule: ribosomal RNA, 422 nt
Filed under: uncultured prokaryote
Description: bacterial SSU rRNA
Rfam family: Bacterial small subunit ribosomal RNA
Source: RNAcentral
UGAGGAAUAUUGGUCAAUGGGCGCAAGCCUGAACCAGCCAUCCCGCGUGAAGGAUGACGGCCCUAUGGGUUGUAAACUUCUUUUAUGUACCAAGAAUAUGCCUUACGAGUAGGGUAUUGACGGUAGUGCAUGAAUAAGCAUCGGCUAACUCCGUGCCAGCAGCCGCGGUAAUACGGAGGAUGCGAGCGUUAUCCGGAUUCAUUGGGUUUAAAGGGUGCGUAGGCGGUUUAUUAAGUCAGUGGUGAAAUCCUGCGGCUCAACCGUAGAACUGCCAUUGAUACUGAUAAACUUGAAUAUAGUUGAGGUAGGCGGAAUGAUUAGUGUAGCGGUGAAAUGCUUAGGUAUUACUCAGAACACCGAUUGCGAAGGCAGCUUGCUAAGCUAUUAUUGACUCUGAGGCACGAAAGCGUGGGGAUCAAACA